GACGAACGCUGGCGGCGUGCCUAAUACAUGCAAGUCGAACGCUUUUUCUUUCACCGGAGCUUGCUCCACCGAAAGAAAAAGAGUGGCGAACGGGUGAGUAACACGUGGGUAACCUGCCCAUCAGAAGGGGAUAACACUUGGAAACAGGUGCUAAUACCGUAUAACCCUAUUUUCCGCAUGGAAGAAAGUUGAAAGGCGCGUUUGCGUCACUGAUGGAUGGACCCGGGGUGCAUUAGCUAGUUGGUGAGGUAACGGCUCACCAAGGCAACGAUGCAUAGCCGACCUGAGAGGGUGAUCGGCCACACUGGGACUGAGACACGGCCCAGACUCCUACGGGAGGCAGCAGUAGGGAAUCUUCGGCAAUGGACGAAAGUCUGACCGAGCAACGCCGCGUGAGUGAAGAAGGUUUUCGGAUCGUAAAACUCUGUUGUUAGAGAAGAACAAGGAUGAGAGUAAAAUGUUCAUCCCUUGACGGUAUCUAACCAGAAAGCCACGGCUAACUACGUGCCAGCCGCCGCAGUAA
Molecule: ribosomal RNA, 523 nt
Filed under: uncultured bacterium
Lineage: Bacteria
Description: partial 16S ribosomal RNA
Rfam family: Bacterial small subunit ribosomal RNA
Source: RNAcentral